RNAcentral lists this ribosomal RNA (505 nucleotides) under uncultured bacterium. Its description in RNAcentral is "bacterial SSU rRNA". It matches the Rfam family "Bacterial small subunit ribosomal RNA", at positions 15 to 518 of the family's 1533-position model. The record is from RNAcentral.
GAUCCUGGCUCAGGAUGAACGCUGGCGGCGUGCUUAACACAUGCAAGUCGAACGAAGCUCUUUGAAGUGAGGAUUCGUCUGAACGGAUGAGAUGACUUAGUGGCGGACGGGUGAGUAACGCGUGGGUAACCUGCCGUAUGCAGGGGGACAACAGUUGGAAACGACUGCUAAUACCGCAUAAGCGCACGGGAUUGCAUGAUCCAGUGUGAAAAGAUUUAUCGGCAUACGAUGGACCCGCGUCUGAUUAGCUAGUUGGUGAGGUAACGGCCCACCAAGGCGACGAUCAGUAGCCGGCCUGAGAGGGUGAACGGCCACAUUGGGACUGAGACACGGCCCAAACUCCUACGGGAGGCAGCAGUGGGGAAUAUUGCACAAUGGGGGAAACCCUGAUGCAAGCGACGCCGCGUGAGUGAAGAAGUAUUUCGGUAUGUAAAGCUCUAUCAGCAGGGAAGAAAGUGACGGUACCUGACUAAGAAGCCCCGGCUAACUACGUGCCAGCAGCUGC